This 484-nucleotide ribosomal RNA is filed under the name uncultured bacterium. Its description in RNAcentral is "partial 16S ribosomal RNA". It matches the Rfam family "Bacterial small subunit ribosomal RNA", at positions 29 to 507 of the family's 1533-position model. The record is from RNAcentral.
AUUGAACGCUGGCGGCAUGCUUUACACAUGCAAGUCGAACGGCAGCGCGGGCUUCGGCCUGGCGGCGAGUGGCGAACGGGUGAGUAAUGCAUCGGAACGUGCCCAGUAGUGGGGGAUAGCCCGGCGAAAGCCGGAUUAAUACCGCAUACGACCUGAGGGUGAAAGCGGGGGACCGAAAGGCCUCGCGCUAUUGGAGCGGCCGAUGUCGGAUUAGCUAGUUGGUGGGGUAAAGGCUUACCAAGGCGACGAUCCGUAGCUGGUCUGAGAGGACGACCAGCCACACUGGGAAUGAGACACGGCCCAGACUCCUACGGGAGGCAGCAGUGGGGAAUUUUGGACAAUGGGGGCAACCCUGAUCCAGCCAUGCCGCGUGCGGGAAGAAGGCCUUCGGGUUGGAAAACGCUUUUGUUCGGGAAGAAAUCCUAUGGGCUAAUACCCCGGGGGGAUGACGGUACCGGAAGAAUAAGCACCGGCUAACUACGUG